This 497-nucleotide ribosomal RNA is filed under the name uncultured bacterium. RNAcentral describes it as "partial 16S ribosomal RNA". It matches the Rfam family "Bacterial small subunit ribosomal RNA", at positions 28 to 507 of the family's 1533-position model. The record is from RNAcentral.
GAUGAACGCUGGCGGCGUGCCUAAUACAUGCAAGUCGAGCGAACAGACGAGGAGCUUGCUCCUCUGACGUUAGCGGCGGACGGGUGCGUAACCCGUGGAUAACCUACCUAUCAGACUGCGAUAACUACUAGAAACCAGACCUAAUACCGGAUAAUAUAUUCCACCGCAUGGUUCAAUAGUGAAAGACUGUCUUGCUGUCACUUAUAGAUCGAACCGCGCCGCUUUGGCUUGGUGGUAAGGUAACGGUUUACAAAGGCAACGAUGCGUAGCCGACCUGAGAGAUGGUGCGGCGACACUGGAAGUGGGACACGGUCCAGACUCCGACGGAGGGCAGCAGUAGGGAAUCGUCCGCAAUGGGCGAAAGCUUGACGGAGCAACGCCGCGUGAGUGAUGAAGGUCUUCGGGUCGUAAAACUCUGUGAUUAGGGAAGAACAAAUGUGUAAGUAACUGUGCACGUCUUGACGGUACCUAAGCAGAAAGCCACGGCUAACUACGUG